This 244-nucleotide ribosomal RNA is filed under the name uncultured bacterium. RNAcentral's name for it is "partial small subunit ribosomal RNA". It matches the Rfam family "Bacterial small subunit ribosomal RNA", at positions 26 to 285 of the family's 1533-position model. The record is from RNAcentral.
AGAAUCAACGCUGGCGGCGUGCCUAACACAUGCAAGUCGAACGAGAACGGGUAGCAAUACCUUAGUAAAGUGGCGCACGGGUGAGUAACACGUGACUAACCUACCCUGGAGUGGGGGAUAACCGAGAGAAAUCUUAGCUAAUACCGCAUAACACCUACGGGUCAAAGGAGCAAUUCGCUUCAGGAGGGGUCGCGGCAGAUUAGAUAGUUGGCGGGGUAAUGGCCCACCAAGUCAGUGAUCUGUA